CAGUCGACGGUAGCACAGCACAGCAAUAUGUGGGUGACGAGUGGCGAACGGGUGCGUAAUAUAUCGGAACAUACCUUGUAGCGGGGGAUACCUUAACGAAAGUUAAGUUAAUACCGCAUAACAUCUGAGGAUUAAAGCUGGGGACCGAAAGGCCUAGCACUACAAGAUUGGCCGAUACCUGAUUAGGUAGUUGGUAGGGUAAAGGCCUACCAAGCCUGCGAUCAGUAGCUGGUCUGAGAGGACGAUCAGCCACACCGGAACUGAGACACGGUCCGGACUCCUACGGGAGGCAGCAGAGGGGAAUUUUGGACAAUGGGCGCAAGCCUGAUCCAGUGAUGCCGCGUGUGUGAAGAAAGCCUUCGGGUCGUAAAGCACUUCUACUUGGGAUGAAAAGUCUGCGCUAAUAACGCAAGACGCUGACAGUACCAAGAGAAUAAGGAUCGGCUAACUACGUGCCAGCAGCCGCGGUAAUACGUAGGAUCCAAGCGUUAAUCGGAAUUAUUGGGCGUAAAGAAUUUGUAGGCUGUCGUGUACGUUGAUUGUGAAAUCCCUGGGCUUAACCUAGGAAUGGCAUUCAAGACUACACGGCUAGAGUAUAUAAGAGGCAAGUGGAAUUUCUAGUGUAGCAGUGAAAUGCGUAGAUAUUAGAAGGAACACCAGUGGCGAAGGCGACUUGCUGGGAUAAUACUGACGCUGAGAAAUGAAAGCGUGGGGGAGCAAACGGGAUUAGAUACCCCGGUAGUCCACGCCGUAAACGAUGUCAACUCGUAGUCGGAGCAACAGCUUCGGGUACCAAGCUAACGCAAUAAGUUGACCGCCUGGGAAGUACGGUCGCAAGACUAAAACUCAAAGGAAUUGACGG
Molecule: ribosomal RNA, 862 nt
Filed under: uncultured bacterium
Lineage: Bacteria
Description: bacterial SSU rRNA
Rfam family: Bacterial small subunit ribosomal RNA
Source: RNAcentral